GUCCCUUUUGAGGGACAUUCGAUAAAAUUGGAACAAUAUAGAGAAGAUUAGCAUGGUUGUUAUACAAAAGAUGUUUGGCAUAAAUCGAUUGUUUCAAAAGUUGA
This is a small nuclear RNA of Pyrus x bretschneideri (Chinese white pear), 104 nucleotides long. NCBI's taxonomy places the organism in Eukaryota, Viridiplantae, Streptophyta, Magnoliopsida, Rosales, Rosaceae. The record is from RefSeq and is a predicted model, not a curated record.